Molecule: ribosomal RNA, 343 nt
Filed under: uncultured bacterium
Lineage: Bacteria
Description: bacterial SSU rRNA
Rfam family: Bacterial small subunit ribosomal RNA
Source: RNAcentral
GUGGUGCAUGGUUGUCGUCAGCUCGUGUCGUGAGAUGUUGGGUUAAGUCCCGCAACGAGCGCAACCCCUAUCUUUAGUUGCCAGCACCUAGGGUGGGCACUCUAGAGAGACUGCCGAGGACAACUCGGAGGAAGGUGGGGAUGACGUCAAAUCAUCAUGCCCCUUAUGUUCAGGGCUACACACGUGCUACAAUGGGCGGUACAACGGGUUGCAAGCUCGCGAGAGCAAGCCAAUCCCUUAAAGCCGUUCUCAGUUCGGAUUGCAGGCUGAAACUCGCCUGCAUGAAGUCGGAGUUGCUAGUAAUCGCGGAUCAAAAUGCCGCGGUGAAUGCGUUCCCGGGUCU